This 450-nucleotide ribosomal RNA is filed under the name uncultured bacterium. RNAcentral's name for it is "bacterial SSU rRNA". It matches the Rfam family "Bacterial small subunit ribosomal RNA", at positions 355 to 796 of the family's 1533-position model. The record is from RNAcentral.
UGGGGGAUAUUGCGCAAUGGGCGAAAGCCUGACGCAGCGACGCCGCGUGGGUGAUGAAGGCCUUCGGGUCGUAAAGCCCUGUCGAGGGGGACGAAACGGUGCCGACCUAACACGUCGGUGCCUUGACGGUACCCCUAAAGGAAGCACCGGCUAACUCCGUGCCAGCAGCCGCGGUAAUACGGAGGGUGCGAGCGUUGUUCGGAAUCACUGGGCGUAAAGCGCGUGUAGGCGGUCCGCUAAGUCUGAUGUGAAAGCCCGGGGCUCACCCCCGGAAGGGCAUUGGAUACUGGUGGACUCGAGUCCCGGAGAGGAGGGUGGAAUUCCUGGUGUAGCGGUGAAAUGCGUAGAUAUCAGGAGGAACACCGGUGGCGAAGGCGGCCCUCUGGACGGUGACUGACGCUGAGACGCGAAAGCGUGGGGAGCAAACAGGAUUAGAUACCCCCGUAGUCC